This 253-nucleotide ribosomal RNA is filed under the name uncultured bacterium. Its description in RNAcentral is "partial 16S ribosomal RNA". It matches the Rfam family "Bacterial small subunit ribosomal RNA", at positions 524 to 776 of the family's 1533-position model. The record is from RNAcentral.
UACGUAGGGGGCAAGCGUUGUCCGGAUUUAUUGGGCGUAAAGAGCGUGUAGGCGGCCAGGGAGGUCCGUUGUGAAAACUCGAGGCUCAACCUCGAGACGCCGAUGGAAACCCCCUGGCUAGAGUCCGGAAGAGGAGAGUGGAAUUCCUGGUGUAGCGGUGAAAUGCGCAGAUAUCAGGAAGAACACCUAUGGCGAAGGCAGCUCUCUGGGACGGUACUGACGCUGAGACGCGAAAGCGUGGGGAGCGAACAGG